GGACCCGCACAAGUAGUGGAGCAUGUGGUUUAAUUCGAAGAUACGCGCAGAACCUUACCUGGUCUUGACAUGCCCGUCAUAGUUUUCCGAAAGGAAUUCGUCAGUUCGGCUGGACGGUGCACAGGUGCUGCAUGGCUGUCGUCAGCUCGUGUCGUGAGAUGUUCGUUAAGUCCGGCAACGAGCGCAACCCUCGUUCCUAGUUGCCAGCGGGUAAAGCCGGGGACUCUAGGAAGACAAACCUCGUGUAGAGGUGGGAAGGUGGGGACGACGUCAAGUCAGUAUGGCCCUUACGACCAGGGCUGCACACGUGCUACAAUGCCCAGCACAAUGGGAUGCAACACCGCGAGGUUGAGCAAA
This 357-nucleotide ribosomal RNA is filed under the name uncultured bacterium. RNAcentral's name for it is "bacterial SSU rRNA". It matches the Rfam family "Bacterial small subunit ribosomal RNA", at positions 917 to 1271 of the family's 1533-position model. The record is from RNAcentral.